GACGAACGCUGGCGGCGUGCUUAACACAUGCAAGUCGAACGGAAAGGCCCUGCUUUUGUGGGUUGCUCGAGUGGCGAACGGGUGAGUAACACGUGAGUAACCUGCCCUUGACUUUGGGAUAACUUCAGGAAACUGGGGCUAAUACCGGAUAGGAGCUCUUGCUGCAUGGUGGGGGUUGGAAAGUUUCGGCGGUUGGGGAUGGACUCGCGGCUUAUCAGCUUGUUGGUGGGGUAGUGGCUUACCAAGGCUUUGACGGGUAGCCGGCCUGGGAGGGUGACCGGCGACAUUGGGACUGAGAGACGGCCCAGACUGCAACGGGAGGCAGCAGUGGAGAAUAUUGCACAAUGGGCGGAAGCCUGAUGCAGCAACGCCGCGUGCGGAAAGACGGCCUUCGGGGUGUAAACCGCUUUCGCCUGUGACGAAGCGUGAGUGACGGUAAUGGGUAAAGAAGCACCGGCUAACUACGUG
This 468-nucleotide ribosomal RNA is filed under the name uncultured bacterium. RNAcentral describes it as "partial 16S ribosomal RNA". It matches the Rfam family "Bacterial small subunit ribosomal RNA", at positions 28 to 507 of the family's 1533-position model. The record is from RNAcentral.